CCCGUGUUUAGUUCAGUAGGACAUCCCGUGUUUAGUUCAGUAGGAUCAUUCUGUGUUUAGUUCAGUAGGAUCAUCCCGUGUUUAGUUCAGUAGGAACAUCCCGUGUUUAGUUCAGUAGGACCAUCCCCUUGUUUAGUUCAGUAUGAUCAUCCCGUGUUUAGUUCAGUAGGAUCAUCCCGUGUUUAGUUCAGUAGUAUCAUCCCGUGUUUUAGUUCAGUAGGAACAUCCCGUGUUUAGUUCAGUAGGAUCAUCCCGUGUUUAGUUCAGUAGGAUCAUUCUGUGUUUAGUUCAGUAGGAUCAUCCCGUGUUUAGUUCAGUAGGAUCAUCCCGUGUUUAGUUCAGUAGGAUCAUCCUGUGUUUAGUUCAGUAGGAUCAUCCCGUGUUUAGUUCAGUAGGAUCAUCCCGUGUUUAGUUCAGUAGGAUCAUCCCGUGUUUAGUUCAGUAGGAUCAUCCCGUAUUUUAGUUCAGUAGCAUCAUCCCGUGUUUAGUUCAGUAGGACAUCCCGUGUUUAGUUCAGUAGGAUCAUUCUGUGUUUAGUUCAGUAGGAUCAUCCCGUGUUUAGUUCAGUAGGAACAUCCCGUGUUUAGUUCAGUAGGACCAUCCCCUUGUUUAGUUCAGUAGGAUCAUCCCGUGUUUAGUUCAGUAGGAACAUCCCGUGUUUAGUUCAGUAGGACCAUCCCCUUGUUUAGUUCAGUAUGAUCAUCCCGUGUUUAGUUCAGUAGGAACAUCCCGUGUUUAGUUCAGUAGGAUUAUCCCGUGUUUAGUUCAGUAGGAUCAUCCCGUGUUUUAGUUCAGUAGGAGCAUCCCGUGUUUAGUUCAGUAGGACCAUCCCGUGUUUAGUUCAGUAGGAAUCAUCCCGUGUUUAGUUCAGUAGGAUCAUCCUGUGUUUAGUUCAGUAGGAUCAUCCCGUGUUUAGUUCAGUAGGACAUCCCGUGUUUAGUUCAGUAGGAUCAUCCCGUGUUUAGGCCACCAUUUCACUACUAGAGUAUUAUAGCAACAGCCAGGGAUUUGCAAUCCAUUCCAGUGUUCAUUUUAUUCCAUGCACGGUGUUCUAUUCCAUUCCAUGCCAGUGUUCCAUUCCAGCUCAAUUCCAGUUCCAUGCCUGUGUUCCAAUACAGUUCCAUGCCAGUGUUCCAUUCCAGCUCUAUUCCAGUUCCAUGUCAGUGUUCCAUUCCAGUUCCAUGCCAGUGUUCCAUUCCAGUUCCAUGCCAGUGUUCCAUUCCAGUUCCAUGCCAGUGUUCCAUUCCAGUUCCUUCCCAGUGUUCCAUUCCAGUUCCUUGCCAGUGUUCCAUUCCAGUGUUCCAAUACAGUUCCAUGCCAGUGUUCCAUUCCAGCUCUAUUCCAGUUCCAUGCCUGUGUUCCAAUAGAGUUCCAUGCCAGUGUUCCAUUCCAGUUCCUUGCCAGUGUUCCAUUCCAGUUCCAUGCCAGUGUUCCAUUUCAUUCCAUGCCAGUGUUCCAUUUCAUUCCAUGCCAGUGUUCCAUUCAAGUGUUCCAAUACAGUUCCAUGCCAGUGUUCCAUUCCAGCUCUAUUCCAGUUCCAUGCCUGUGUUCCAAUACAGUUCCAUGCCAGUGUUCCAUUCCAGCUGUAUUCCAGUUCCUUGCCAGUGUUCCAUUCCGGUUCCUUGCCAGUGUUCCAUUCCGGUUCCAUGCCAGUGUUCCAUCUUAUUCCAUGCCAGUGUUCCAUUCCAUGCCAGUGUUCCAUUCCAGUGUUCCAAUACAGUUCCAUGCCAGUGUUCCAAUACAGUUCCAUGCCAGUGUUCCAUUCCAGUGUUCCAUUCCAGUUCCAUGCCAGUGUUCUAUCUUAUUCCAUGCCAGUGUUCCAUUCCAUGCCAGUGUUCCAUUCCAGCUCUAUUCCAGUUCCAUGCCUGUGUUCCAAUACAGUUCCAUGCCAGUGUUCCAUUCCAGCUGUAUUCCAGUUCCUUGCCAGUGUUCCAUUCCAGUUCCUUGCCAGUGUUCCAUUCCAGUUCCUUGCCAGUGUUCCAUUCCAGUUCCAUGCCAGUGUUCCAUCUUAUUCCAUGCCAGUGUUCCAUUCCAUGCCAGUGUUCCAUUCCAGUGUUCCAAUACAGUUCCAUGCCAGUGUUCCAAUACAGUUCCAUGCCAGUGUUCCAUUCCAGUGUUCCAUUCCAGUUCCAUGCCAGUGUUCUAUCUUAUUCCAUGCCAGUGUUCCAUUCCAUGGCAGUGUUCCAUUCCAGCUCUAUUCCAGUUCCAUGCCUGUGUUCCAAUACAGUUCCAUGCCAGUGUUCCAUUCCAGCUCUAUUCCAGUUCCUUGCCAGUGUUCCAUUCCAGUUCCUUGCCAGUGUUCCAUUCCAGUUCCUUGCCAGUGUUCCAUUCCAGUUCCUUGCCAGUGUUCCAUUCCAGUUCCUUGCCAGUGUUGUCAGUGUUCCAUUCCAGUUCCAUGCCAGUGUUCCAAUCCAGUUCCUUGCCAGUGUUCCAUUCCAUUCCAUGCCAGUGUUCCAUUCCAGCUCUAUUCCAGUUCCUUGCCUGUGUUCCAUUCCAUUUCCAUGCCAGUGUUCCAUUCCAGCUCUAUUCCAGUUCCUUGCCUGUGUUCCAUUCCAUUUCCAUGCCAGUGUUCCAUUCCAGUUCCUUGCCAGUGUUGUCUGCAGCACUCUGCACUCCGUAGUGUAGUGUGCUUGUGUUUAGGUUUUCAAAAUCCUAGAUCCUACAUUCCCUGACAGAGACAGAGCUAUCAUGCUCAGUCAUCAUCCUCUCUCUCUCUCUGUCUCACAGAAGGCCUUUUCCUCCCCUUCCUCUAUAAAUGCAAGCGACGCAAAGCGUGAGAUUAGGCUCCCCUGACCUUUAACAGUGCUGAUAGCAGCCGCUGCGGAUGUCAGGGAACUCACAGCCGACACCAAACAAGGGUGUUUCCCAAAUGGCACCCUAUUCCCUGCAUAGUGCACCUAGGGUCUGGUCAACACUAGUGUACCAUAUAGGGAGUAGGGUGCCAUUGGGAACGCAGACAUGCUUAUAGUUCACAGCACACAGCUAAAUUACAGAUCUCUGUGAUAGCAGGUAAAGAAAUUAUUAUCGUAAACUGACGUGAUAAUUACAGACGGUUGGAAAAAGGUUAUCGGUCAACACAAAACAAGCCUCCAUGCUCCAGGAAAGCAGGCCUACUGCACCAAGCAGAGCAAUCAUAGAUUAUGUCUAGAUCAGACUGACUGCAUCCCAAAUGACACCCUUUUCCCUAUAUAGUGCACUACUUUUGACUAGGGCCCACUCUGGUGCAAAGUAGUGCACUACAGAUGUUAGCUCUUAAUUUGAUCCCCCUUCUGUUGCAGGAAAUGUCAUGCACAGCAGGAAACGCAAACUUCUGGUGUAUUCCAGGUUUAAAAAGGCGUCUUAAGUUUGUAAUUUCCACUUUAAAAUUUCAGACUUGAUUUACCGUAACAAAAAAAUGCAUCAACCCUUACAAAAAUGUCCAUGAAUUAUAAUCCACAUAAAUCACAUUUCCUGAUGCUGCAGGAUUAUUUUCCUGCUGUGAUAAACUGGUCAAAUUAAGAUCCUACACGGGAUAAGGGUGCCACUUGGGAUGUAGACUCGGAAUGCUUCUAGGGGACUACUAUGGACGAAUGGACAAAACCCUCCCUACUACAUAACCCUGACCAGUAGGCUGUUGAAGAACAACCCUGUCUCUGACCAAUGGGCUGUUGAAGAACAACCCUGUCUCUGACCAAUGGGCUGUUGAAGAACAACCCUGUCUCUGACCAGUAGGCCAGUAGGCUGUUGAAGAACAACCCUGUCUCUGACCAAUGGGCUGUUGAAGAACAACCCUGUCUCUGACCAGUAGGCCAGUAGGCUGUUG
Molecule: long non-coding RNA, 3802 nt
Filed under: Salmo salar (Atlantic salmon)
Lineage: Eukaryota; Metazoa; Chordata; Actinopteri; Salmoniformes; Salmonidae
Description: lncRNA (ENSSSAG00000098736.1)
Source: RNAcentral